RNAcentral lists this ribosomal RNA (279 nucleotides) under uncultured bacterium. RNAcentral's name for it is "partial 16S ribosomal RNA". It matches the Rfam family "Bacterial small subunit ribosomal RNA", at positions 506 to 784 of the family's 1533-position model. The record is from RNAcentral.
UGCCAGCCGCCGCGGUAAUACGUACUGUGCGAACGUUAUUCGGAAUCACUGGGCUUAAAGGGUACGUAGGCGGUCUUGUCGGUCAGAUGUGAAAGCCCAGGGCUCAACCCUGGACGUGCAUUUGAAACAGCAAGACUUGAAUACUGGAGAGGAGAGCGGAAUUCCUGGUGUAGAGGUGAAAUUCGUAGAUAUCAGGAGGAACACCGAUGGCGAAGGCAUCUCUCUGGACCGAUACUGACGCUGAGGCGCGAAGGCGUGGGUAGCGAACGGGAUUAGAUA